CCUACGGGUGGCAGCAGUGGGGAAUAUUGCACAAUGGGGGAAACCCUGAUGCAGCGACGCCGCGUGAGUGAAGAAGUAAUUCGUUACGUAAAGCCCUAUCAGCAGGGAAGAAACACUGACCUUACGGUCAGCAGACGGUACCUGAGUAAGAAGCCCCGGCUAACUACGUGCCAGCAGCCGCGGUAAUACGUAGGGGGCAAGCGUUAUACGGAUUUACUGGGUGUAAAGGGAGCGUAGACGGUGCGCCAAGUCUGGAGUGAAAUGCCGCGGCUUAACUGCGGAACUGCUUUGGAAACUGGCGAACUAGAGUGCGGUAGAGGUAUGCGGAAUUCGUGGUGUAGCGGUGAAAUGCGUAGAUAUUAGGAGGAACACCGGUUGCGAAGGCGGCUUACUGGACCGUAACUGACGUUGAUGCUCGAAAGCGUGGGUAGCAAACAGGAUUAGAUACCCUUGUAGUC
This 458-nucleotide ribosomal RNA is filed under the name uncultured bacterium. RNAcentral's name for it is "partial 16S ribosomal RNA". It matches the Rfam family "Bacterial small subunit ribosomal RNA", at positions 338 to 795 of the family's 1533-position model. The record is from RNAcentral.